Hypanus sabinus (Atlantic stingray) is the source of this 2988-nucleotide long non-coding RNA. RefSeq lists it as uncharacterized. NCBI's taxonomy places the organism in Eukaryota, Metazoa, Chordata, Chondrichthyes, Myliobatiformes, Dasyatidae. The record is from RefSeq and is a predicted model, not a curated record. The transcript has 3 exons.
GCGGCUUGACACCAGUAAGGAGUUUCAGUCAAUCUAAGCAGCGUGCCUGUCCGCCCUCUCAUCCAGGAGGGGAGCACUUGACUACACAGGGAAGAAGGAGCCAGCAAGCAACGCUUCGGGACUCCACUAGGCCCAAAGUGAAGCCUGACACCAUUCAACAACCCAGAUGCUGCCUGACAUGCUGGGCUCCUCCAGUGCAUGUUGCUCCAGAUUUCCAGCACCUCUCAUGUAUUGUAGUACCCAGGUCCUGACUCCAGCUUGUGGGAAGCAACCUUGACCGCGAGAAUGUCCAGAAUUCAAACCCCGGUACGGCAACUCUUGGGUUCUGAUGAGGAAGGGCAACGAUGGAGCAUGUUAUCUUCCAGAGGAGAUAUUUCACCUUCUUCUGCCUCCAUCGGUCCGUGUUAUAAAUGUACAUGGAUGGAAAAGUUUUUGAAGGAUACGGGUCUCCCCAAACAGAUCCUUUCUCCUAGUUGAAGGAAGGUCACCGAGCCCUGGUGGGCAAAGGAAACGCUUCAAAAUCAGCCUGAAGAGAUUCAGCAUUACAUCUGUUUUCAACACAUUUUCCCAGGGUUGAAAUGUCUCAUACCAGAGGACAUGCACUUAAGGUGAGAUGUGAGGGGCAAAUAUUUUCACUCAAAGAGUGGUGGAGGCCUCAAAUGUGCUGCCUGGGGUGGUGGUAGAGGCAGAUACAUUAGGGACUUUUAAGAAAUGUUUAGAUAGCUAUGUGAAUGUGAGGGAAAUGAAAGGCUGCAGACAUCGUGUAGGCAGCUUAUUAUUCAUUGGCUUGGCACAACCUUGUGGAGUGAAGGGCCUACACCUCUGCUGUAUGAUCCAUCUACAUCUAAAAACUGGGAAGAUUUUCCACUCAAUCCAGUCCACCUGGAGGAAAUCUGUUUAAGAGGGAGGUACACUGCAUGAGGAAGCCUUCUGCUGAGUGGCAGCUGCAAAUGGAGGGACUGAACAGCCAAAAGGUGCAGCCACUAACCACAGCCACCACUUACUCUUGGCCACACUGCAACAGAGUAUGUGGAUCCUGGAUCAGCCUCUACAAACACCUGAGGAGACCAUCAUCCUCGAUGCAAGCAAUUGCACAACUCCCAGGGCAUUCACCAAGUGCUGGCAGAUGGGCUUAGCUCAGGUAGGCAUGUUGGUCAGCAUGGAUGGGUUGGGCUGAAGGGCCUGGUUUUGUGCUGUAAACUCUCUGAGUUGCUUUCAUUAGCUAGCUGGUCACAUAGUGUGGAUAGGUCUGGUCUCCACUCUGGGAAAAUGGACUGCAGCAUUUCAGUUAUUGGAGAGGCUGGGUCUCUGGAGGCUGAUGGGUUCCUGAUUAGUCAGAGUCCCAAAGGUUACGGGGAGAAGGCAGGAGAAUGUGGUUGAGAGGGGUAAUAAAUCAGCCAUGAUGGAAUGGCAGCUGUGCCAUGGAAGAUCCCAAGCCUGGCUGUGAAAGGGCAAGGGUUGGGCGUGGGGCAAGCAACCCCGUUCCAUAAAAACCCAGCUACAGAAACCCUAACAGAAGCUCUAAAGACCUUGUUCCUGAGAGAGGGAGGGUAUGCUAAGGUGGUGACAAUUUGAAAGACUUGCCCAGGACAGAGGACUCUGGCAAGCUACUUUCCGAGUCUUAUGGCCCAGUAGGGGUGAUUGGUCUAAAUAAUUACAUAUGUAAUGAUGGAAUGGUGAAGCAGGCUUGAUGGGCCGAACAGCCCAAUUCUGUUCCCAUUCUUAUGGUCUAGUUUUCUUACAGCUGAAGAGACUGAAGGAGGACCUCAUGUACCAAUUAUGACGGGCAUAGAUAUACAUAUAGCAGUCAAUUUUGCCCCAUAGCAGAGGUGUAGAAAUCCAAAGGGGCAGAAGGAGGACUAGUUUCAAUGUGGGCCGAAGGGCCUGUAAUGUGCCGUUCUAUGCUGACCCAGAGGGGUUUUGGAAUCUGGGACACUGCCUGAGGUGGUGGUGCAAUUAGAAAGGCCCAUAACUUUUCAGAAACAUCUGUCAAAGUCUCAAAUUGCAAAGUUAUAGAAUGUUAUGAACCACGUGCUGGAAAAUGGGAUUGCUGUAGAUGGGUCAGCAUCAACAUGAAGGGCCAAAUAUCCUGUUUCUAUGCUGGAUGAUUUUGCCAGUCUCCUGAAUGAUAUAGAAAACCAUCUGUUGGUUGUGUCCUGGCUGUCUACGUGUACACAAGCCAGAAUAGUACAUUAUAGAGAGCAAGCUGGUGUCCAUGCAGGACUCCCCUUGCCACACAGCUGAUGAAUCUAAAGGAAUGGAAGAGUAACGUACAGUUUGACAGCAGCACCAUUGCAAGAGUUGCCAGUCAGCAUUGGACUCAACAUAGAACUUUUCUAUUUUUCUAUUCUUAUUUAUUCCUGAAGUCUUCCCUGUGAGUGGGUACAGCCACAAGGCAGCGGGGGUUUGAGGUCAGAGUUUUCCUUCUCCGAGAUGAGCUGCUAACCAGGGCUGAUGAGCCCCAUCUGCCCGAAGCGACUGGUUUUAAGCUGCCAAUAACCUGCCUUAACCCUUUCUUCUGUCGGUAGAAACAUGUCCACCAGGCUUAGAAGCUAAGCCACGCAUGAAGGCCAGGAAAUGGACUUGAUUGUCAGAGGCUAUUUGAGGCACACACCAUUGGGAACAUUUAAUAGGUAGUGGGGACUUGGCCCCUCUAAAGCCCCAUCUGGCUCUGACAAGGGGCCUUUGUAAUCAUAUAUAAGCAUAUGCAAUUAAGUUAUUUAAACUGAAUUACAUAAAAAUUAGUAUGUGUGGGGGUAAGGGUUUCUGUCUUCAGUCUUCACUACACUGCUCCCAAUAAGUUACGUCUGAAUAAAGCCAUAAUCACUGUCUAUUGCUGAUUAACUUACUUGUCUUAUUGAAUUGGUUUAUCAGUAACUCUGCACCUGUUCCUUACUGAUAUCGUCUCUGUGGAGGAAUGCAGCUAUUUUAGAGCAGUGAGUGAAAACACUAAAAUCCAUCUCUACCCACCAGACACCAAAGGGUUUG